Transfer RNA from Allomyces macrogynus ATCC 38327, 72 nucleotides. It matches the Rfam family "tRNA". From Rfam's summary of the family: Transfer RNA (tRNA) molecules are approximately 80 nucleotides in length. NCBI's taxonomy places the organism in Eukaryota, Fungi, Blastocladiomycota, Blastocladiomycetes, Blastocladiales, Blastocladiaceae. The record is from Rfam.
GGGCGUAUGGUGUAGUGGUAUCACGCCUGCUUUGGGUGCAGGAGGUCUCGGGUUCGAACCCCGAUUCGCCCC